CUACGGGUGGCAGCAGUAGGGGAUAUUGCACAAUGGAGGAAACUCUGAUGCAGCAACGCCGCGUGAAGGAAGACGGUUUUCGGAUUGUAAACUUCUAUCAGCUGGGAAGAAAAUGACUGUACCAGACUAAGAAGCCCCGGCUAACUACGUGCCAGCAGCCGCGGUAAUACGUAGGGGGCAUGCGUUAUCCGGAUUUACUGGGUGUAAAGGGUUCGUAGGCGGUUAUUUAAGUCAGAUGUGAAAGCCCGAGGCUCAACCUCGGGACUGCAUUUGAAACUGGAUAACUAGAGUACAGGAGAGGAAAGCGGAAUUCCUAGUGUAGCGGUGAAAUGCGUAGAUAUUAGGAAGAACACCAGUGGCGAAGGCGGCUUUCUGGACUGUAACUGACGCUGAUGAACGAAAGCGUGGGGAGCGAACAGGAUUAGAUACCCUCGUAGUC
Molecule: ribosomal RNA, 439 nt
Filed under: uncultured bacterium
Lineage: Bacteria
Description: partial 16S ribosomal RNA
Rfam family: Bacterial small subunit ribosomal RNA
Source: RNAcentral